Molecule: long non-coding RNA, 401 nt
Filed under: Brassica rapa (field mustard)
Lineage: Eukaryota; Viridiplantae; Streptophyta; Magnoliopsida; Brassicales; Brassicaceae
Description: long non-coding RNA (BRAP_LNC001835)
Source: RNAcentral
UUAAUUCAAACCUUACGAUUUAGAGUUAAGGGGUGGAGUUUUGGAAUUAGGGUUUAAAAUUUUAUAAAAAAUAAAUACUAAAAUAAAAAAUAAAAAUUUAAAAACAGUUUCAAAAAAUAUUUUUAAAUUAUAAAAAGAAAAUUUGAAAAAAAUAAAAAAAAAAUUCGAAAAAAAAAUUACAAAAAAAAAAUUUAUAAAAUUUCGAAUCUGAAAACAUAUAAUCUGAAACUAUAAAUUUUUUUUUUUUUAAUUUAUUUUUGUUUGUUUAUUUAAUUUUAAACCAAAGGUAUUAGGGAUAUUUUACCCUUUAAUGAAUGUCAUUUUUGUGACUUUCUUCUUCUAGUGCUAUUUUUGAGACAUAAACUUCAAAAAGUGUUAUUAUUGACAAUUGCCCUAAAAAU